Long non-coding RNA from Astatotilapia calliptera (eastern happy), 2202 nucleotides. The record is from Ensembl. Lineage: Eukaryota; Metazoa; Chordata; Actinopteri; Cichliformes; Cichlidae.
CUCAAACACAGGCUUUGUGUUGUUUUCCUCUCUGGUUUUAAAUCUGUUAAACGCAGACUUUAAACUAAAUUUUCUUUUUAGAAGAAGCUUCCUGCUGCUUUGUGGGACCUCCAGCUGUUGCACUCUGCAUUGACCUGACCCUGACACGUGUGACUGUGCAGUGAUUCAUUGUCUGAACUGGUUUAGCCGUUGGGUGUGAAAAUCUGCCGGAGAAGAUGUUUGCUGCUGAAGCUAAAGCAUUUGUCCAGACGCUGGGAGGAACAGACCUCAUCUCUAAUGAUAACUUAAACUGUAAAAUGGAUCUGCUGACUCUGGUCAAAGUCACUGAGGGAAUUUUUUGGCCGGUACAGAAGUACAAAGUGAUACACUAUAGCCUGCCCGAGCUCACCGAGGAAGAAAACUUCUCUCCAGAUUACACCGAGGAAGUCUUGGUAGAGGACUUUAGGAUCACUACAGAGAAGAGUGGGAGUGGAGGUAUAGGUGGAGAAUGCAGUAAUGUGGGUGAAGCUUAUAUUAAUGCCAGCACUAGUUCUGUGGAUGGACUGGUUCAGCCCGUCAGCAUGAUGACAAAGAAGGCCAAUGUUAAAACUGUGGUGAGCAGAUUCAAGGGCAGGAAAAUACACAAGGAUACCUUGAACCUGCUGGGACUGAAAGAGAAGGAUAAACUGAUGUUUGUCUCUCAAAUAGUUUACAACUCCAGUCCUGUCAAAAUUAUUAGAAAGUCUACGACUGAUGGCUCCAUUUUCACUUCUUAUGUAAAGAUGCUGAGUGUCUUUGCAAAGGGGAGCAGUAAGGCGGAGACAAGCUUCACUGUGCCAGCAAAAUCCAUCUUUGCUUAUAGCCUGGUGGAGAUAAAGAUAGAGAAUGAGAAACUGAAGAUCUCAUGUGAGCCAUGGACUCGUAGUUUACUCGAUUGGCUCCUUUGUGAUGACGUAAGCAAUCCAACUGUGAAAAAAGUAAAAGAAGAACUAGAGAUGAAGGAAGCUCUACUGCAGCCGCUGGCAGAUCUUCCUGAGUCGACCCGUUGUGAUCUGCUGCAAACACUCAGCAAGCUCGUAGAGGAUGGAGACAAUCUCUCUCUGCUGGAUAAAACACUGGAUCAUUGCAGUAAUGGAGUGUUUGAGUGUGAGUCUGAGGCUGUCUCUUCCUUCAUGGACCUUCUCAAUGUCUCAAACAUCUCCACAAGUGAGCAGAAUGCUGUUCAUAUGUUGGUCAGCGCUCUGCACACUCUGCCAGAUGAAGUGCCGCCACUUCUGACCUGCUGCAGUCCAGACACUCUGAGAGUGCUCAAUCAGCUGGUGGAUGGUCUGAAGGACGGUCGGGCCAAACUGCCAGAGUCCCUGCCCGUCCCCCUGCAGGAGGGAGGGGAGCUCCGCUGGGCGGCCGAGUUCAUCUGUUUGAACGAUCAGAAGCUGAAAGAGUUGAGUGACGGCUGGGACCGGCCCGAGCUGCCCCCAGAGGUUCUGCUGGAGGUUCUGUGCCUCGCUGUGCAGGGACUCAGCCUGAUGCAGCCCACAACAAACCCUUAAUGUCAGCUGCUGUGAUCUUUGUUAAUGUGCUUUUACAGCAGCCGAUGCUUGUGAUGGUUCAGUGUCCAGUCAGGCCAGGUGAACCUUUUUGGGUAUGGAAAAGGAUGGCGAGCCAAUGAACGGCUAUAGGAGCAGGAAUCAUUCUGCAUUGAAGCUUCCACUGGUUGGGUAAGAAGCUAUCAAAGACGACGCUCUGUCCCCAUUUUCCGAAUACACUGAUUUCCACAAUCAUACACACCAUUCCCCCCGUUUAUGGACAAUAGCACUUGGACAUCUCUCAUGGCCAAUAUGACAAAGAAAUCACAUAUUUGCUUCAAAGGGGUUAAGUGUUCUAAAAUCAUGAAAUCACGAAAACUAGCUUAAUUGUUUUUUGACAUAGUAAAAAACAACAUGUAUCACUUUAGAUUUUAAGCUAAUUGGGCUGAAGGGUGUCUUGUUUCGAUUGGUAAACAGUUCUUAGCAAAUGUAUUUGUCCGCUCCUCAAUGAAAGUUUUAUCCCAAAUAUUGACAGUGUUGAUAAUUAAAGGAAUCCUUUUUGGGUUUUCUGUAAUGGUUAACUGAGCAGUAUAUGCAGGCUAUUUAAAUAAAAUAAUAUUUUUACUGCAAAAAUAUUAUUGAUGUUUUAUCCACAAUUUUUUUUAUUUACAUUUUUACAAAAUAGUCGGAAAAAUAG